CAGUCGCCACGGUAAUACGUAGGGUGCAAGCGUUAAUCGGAAUUACUGGGCGUAAAGCGUGCGCAGGCGGUUUGUUAAGACAGAUGUGAAAUCCCCGGGCUCAACCUGGGAACUGCAUUUGUGACUGGCAGGCUAGAGUAUGGCAGAGGGGGGUGGAAUUCCGCGUGUAGCAGUGAAAUGCGUAGAUAUGCGGAGGAACACCGAUGGCGAAGGCAGCCCCCUGGGCCAAUACUGACGCUCAUGCACGAAAGCGUGGGGAGCAAACAGGAUUAGAUACCCGAGUAGUCCCUGUCUCUUAUAC
Molecule: ribosomal RNA, 301 nt
Filed under: uncultured bacterium
Lineage: Bacteria
Description: partial 16S ribosomal RNA
Rfam family: Bacterial small subunit ribosomal RNA
Source: RNAcentral